RNAcentral lists this ribosomal RNA (227 nucleotides) under uncultured bacterium. RNAcentral's name for it is "partial 16S ribosomal RNA". It matches the Rfam family "Bacterial small subunit ribosomal RNA", at positions 109 to 334 of the family's 1533-position model. The record is from RNAcentral.
AGUAACGCGUGAGGAACCUGCCUCAAAGAGGGGGACAACAGUUGGAAACGACUGCUAAUACCGCAUAAGCCCACGGCUCGGCAUCGAGCAGAGGGAAAAGGAGUGAUCCGCUUUGAGAUGGCCUCGCGUCCGAUUAGCUAGUUGGUGAGGUAACAGCCCACCAAGGCGACGAUCGGUAGCCGGACUGAGAGGUUGAACGGCCACAUUGGGACUGAGACACGGCCCAG